This 2145-nucleotide long non-coding RNA is filed under the name Nicotiana benthamiana. Its description in RNAcentral is "long non-coding RNA (NBEN_LNC022733)". Lineage: Eukaryota; Viridiplantae; Streptophyta; Magnoliopsida; Solanales; Solanaceae. The record is from RNAcentral.
CUUACUUCAUUUUGAGUAGUGAACAAGCAAGUCAUUACUAAAUUAGAAUAUCCAAGUACAUGAAAUUUAAAUACCAUUCAACUGAAUAUUUUCAGAGCUACUAUUAUAAUUCUAUACACAAUUAAAUUAUUUAAUAACAUACAUAUUAGCAUAAUUUCAAAAUUCAGUAUACAUGUAUUAGCAUAUGCUCCUCUCUAUUCCAUUUUCCUACCUUAAAUCCUCAUUCCGAAACGACUUCAAACCAGUAGUUAACUUUCAAAAUAGAACAUUUAGCUAUUUCUCAUAACAUCUUGCCUCUAUUGUAGCUUAAUCUAUCAAACAGUAACAUAAAAUCAUGGACUCAGUAUUAUGCUAUAAUAUUUAAGUGAUCUACAAAGAAACAAGAGAUCUAACACCACUUACUUUAGCUGACAUGCUUGAUUACAAAAUCGAGCUAAUGAUCAAAUUUCCAUCAAAUUCCUUCUCUUAACAGUUCAAAACUAAAUACAAUAAUAUGAACUCAAAAGAAAACAAAAUUUAGCUACGAGUGCUUUGCUAGAAUCUAACUUCAUAACAAAUGCAAAUUAACUAAAACUCUUAUAUUGAACAUACAAUGCAUCAAUUAAUUUCAAUAUCAUAAAAGACUAAAACUAAAAUAGUGAAUCUGAGCAUGUAAAAGCCAUAUUUAAAAACUCCAGAUUCAUUUCAUGCUUCAAUGUCAAGCCUCAUAAGGGGUGAGUUUAGAAACAUGUACCUGAGGAUAAGGAAAAACAAAGAAGAAUUGAGGAAGCAGUAAUUAACAGCAGCAAAACCAAUUUUGAUCCUUAGCAAUGUAACAAUAACCCCAGAAACUAAACAGCUUCGAACCAAAGCUUUCCAAACCCAACACAGAUGUAAAACCUCAUCAUUUUAGCAGUUUUAAACAAGUAAUCAAGAUCAGAAAACCAAAUACUAGGAAGAUUUUUAGAGGUUUUCCACAAGGAACUACAGGGAAUCCAGGGAUACUUUCAGAUGCUCAGCCGUUUUAAUUUUUCUGAAUUUUUACCUCUUAAAAAUCUGACAUGAAUACCAAGUGAUGGUGCCUUUAUAGGAAACACAUUAGGGAAGCUUGAAGGUAUCAAUUUUUGCGCUUUGCACCUUUUUAUGUUUUGAUUUUUCCUUAGGAGACCUUAAUUUAAAUUUCAGAUUUUCAUAUAAGUCCAUACCCUAGCUUCUAGGAAGCUUCCUUAGUCUAUUACCAAAAUAUUCCCAAAGCUAAUUACCUUGAUUACCCCUUAAAUCCCUGAAAAGUACCUUUCCCCCCAGCCAAAUAUGGGUCAAACUAACCCGACUCAAAUUGGUAUGAGUCCGAGACCCAAGAUGAAUUCCCUCUUGGGCUCUUGAUUUUUCAAAGCCUAAUUCAAACCAAUUAGAAAUUGAUAGUUUUAAGAACUGAUCAAAAUUUCCCAAAAGAAAACCCGAAAACCCUUUAAAAAACAAUCAAAACAAAGAAAAGGGUGAAUGUAAUAAUUAACCUAAACACAUAGCAGGAAAUUAACUAAGUUAUAGGCCUAAUUAAAUUAACUAGGUGAUUAAACAGAAAGACAAAACUAGUGAAUUAUCCAAGCUUUUGACGAAGUUUAACGGACUAAAGAAACCAGAGAAUAUGAUUUCACAAAGAAGAGGAAAAGAAAUAAAAAAGGAACAAAAACAAAUUUGAACUCAGAAAGCUAAAAAAGGGGAAGGAGGAGGAUAAUAAGACAGUGAAAGAAAGCAAAUACAUAAAGAGGGAGAGGAACUUACCAAAUCAAGGCUCAAAACCUAUCGGAGACCAAUGAGUUAACCAAACUAAUGCCGAUCCCUUGUUCUUUGUCAAGAACAACUUAAUGAGAUCAGUUUUUUUUGAGUCCAAACUUCAAAUCUUGAAAGAACAACACUCCAUGAUCGCGCAUGUUACCAGGUCUCAUGAAAAAAUGACUUUGAACUUUUGGGGGUCGAAAUCGAAUUUAAGAUUCAAAGAUCUUGGAGUGGAUUCGAGGAGAAACGAUGAUGGGUUAGGUAUGAUGGGAGGAAGGGGAGUUUGGGAUGUUGAUUUGGAGUGGUUUGGAGGUGGCACCGCCAGUGAUAAGCGGUGGAAACGGAGGGAUGCGGCUCUACGAUUUCUGUUGGUCUCUGAGAGGAGAUGAG